Non-coding RNA from Pelobates cultripes (western spadefoot toad), 341 nucleotides. The record is from the annotation of a GenBank genome assembly. NCBI's taxonomy places the organism in Eukaryota, Metazoa, Chordata, Amphibia, Anura, Pelobatidae.
AUUGGUACCAUAGAGACUGUUCCAAUCAAAUUCCCCAAUUUGGGAAAAGUUCUAUGGAAUACAUUUGGUAGGAUUACAAGAAGAAACAAUUUAUUGGAUACAGGUCCAAUCAGUGAUAGAAUUGGUGACAAUAAUACAUUUCCUUCAGAACCUGCAGUUUACCUCUUUAUGAUUUUUUUUUUCCAAGGAAUUUAGGACAUAAACCACUAAAUAAAAUUAAUUAUGUAAUAGGUGCUUUCUUGUGUUUGAGAUGUUUGUUAUAUCCCCAUAUACACCCUGUUCCAAAUUAUUAUGCAAAUUAUAUUUUUCUCAUUUACCUAAAUAAUUAAUGUAAAUAACAG